AGAGUUUGAGUUAUGGCUCAGGAUGAACGCUAGCUACAGGCUUAACACAUGCAAGUCGAGGGGCAGCAUGUUGGUUGCUUGCAACCAAUGAUGGCGACCGGCGCACGGGUGAGUAACACGUAUCCAACCUUCCCUAUAGUAGAGGAUAGCCCGGCGAAAGUCGGAUUAAUACUCUAUGUUUUCCAAUGCAGACAUCUAAAAUGGAAACAAAGGUUCACCGCUAUAGGAUGGGGGAUGCGUCUGAUUAGAUAGUCGCGGGGUAACGGCCCACCGAGUCGACGAUCAGUAGGGGUUCUGAGAGGAAGGUCCCCCACAUUGGAACUGAGACACGGUCCAAACUCCUACGGGAGGCAGCAGUGAGGAAUAUUGGUCAAUGGGCGAGAGCCUGAACCAGCCAAGUAGCGUGCAGGAUGACGGCCCUAUGGGUUGUAAACUGUCUUUUAUACAGGGAUAAAGUGACGUACGUGUACGUUUUUGUAGGUACUGUAUGAAUAAGGACCGGCUAAUUCCGUGCCAGCAGCCGC
Molecule: ribosomal RNA, 524 nt
Filed under: uncultured bacterium
Lineage: Bacteria
Description: bacterial SSU rRNA
Rfam family: Bacterial small subunit ribosomal RNA
Source: RNAcentral